ACAGCAGUCUGCACAUUGUUU
This 21-nucleotide microRNA is filed under the name Gallus gallus (chicken). RNAcentral describes it as "microRNA Ros-gga". The record is from RNAcentral. Lineage: Eukaryota; Metazoa; Chordata; Aves; Galliformes; Phasianidae.